This 506-nucleotide ribosomal RNA is filed under the name uncultured bacterium. RNAcentral describes it as "partial 16S ribosomal RNA". It matches the Rfam family "Bacterial small subunit ribosomal RNA", at positions 29 to 523 of the family's 1533-position model. The record is from RNAcentral.
AGUGAACGCUGGCGGUAGGCCUAACACAUGCAAGUCGAACGGCAGCACAGAGGAGCUUGCUCCUUGGGUGGCGAGUGGCGGACGGGUGAGGAAUACAUCGGAAUCUACUCUGUCGUGGGGGAUAACGUAGGGAAACCUACGCUAAUACCGCAUACGACCCACGGGUGAAAGCAGGGGAUCUUCGGACCUUGCGCGAUUGAAUGAGCCGAUGUCGGAUUAGCUAGUUGGCGGGGUAAAGGCCCACCAAGGCGACGAUCCGUAGCUGGUCUGGGAGGAUGACCAGCCACACUGGAACUGGGACACGGUCCAGACUCCUACGGGAGGCAGCAGUGGGGAAUAUUGGACAAUGGGCGCAAGCCUGAUCCAGCCAUACCGCGUGGGUGAAGAAGGCCUUCGGGUUGUAAAGCCCUUUUGUUGGGAAAGAAAUCCAUCUGGUUAAUACCCGGGUGGGAUGACGGUACCCAAAGAAUAAGCACCGGCUAACUUCGUGCCAGCCGCCGCAGUAA